GGCAGUGCUGCGGUGCUGGGGGCGGGCGGGCAGGCUGGAGAGGAGCAGCCUGGGCCGGGUGGGGAACCCAUACCGAAGCACGGACCAGACGCUUUGUUAGCUGGAGGCCCGGACUGCCUGAUCCGGGAGGUGGAGCCUGGUUCUGGACUCUUGUACGUAGUUUCGUUUCUGGCCAUUUUUUUCUACCGCCAAAUGGUGAGUUAGGGCUCUGGAUCUUGAGAGAUGGCGUCGUGUAAAGGAAAGAGCCCACUUUGACUAAGUCUUGGGUCAGACUUCCUGAACCUGAGUUUACACCUGUGUAACCUAAAGGAGUUCGACUAAGUGAAGUCUGAGAUCACUACAACUCUGAAGUUUCCAAGGGGAGAAGACAGGAGAAGGAAGCAGAAUCUGUGCCAGACUCUGCUGACGAUUCAGUGAAUGACCCCGAUUUUGUCUUUCCACCACUCACCUACUCAGCUUUUUAUCUGUGAAAGUUGAAACCCUAAGGGGUAAGGGAUAGACACUGCCAGGAAGACUUCGGAAUUCAAAAACAAGGAGCUUGUGGCUUGGGUCCUGUUUCCCACCUGGAACUUUGCCCAACACAGGCAACUACAAUCAAGUAGAAAUGGCAACAUAAUAUGUUUAAGCAGAUGGCCAGGCAGCAUUGAUAACCACUCCCACUCCUGCAUGUUCCUUGACUACACUGAACUGAAAAGGAGAUACAGAAUUCCUUAAGAGAGUUACCAAAAAGCAAGGUGACCAGCAACCAACUAAGAUUGUAAGAGACUUGUAUAGACAAAAAAUACCAAGUCUUGCAAACAAAGGCCUAUGAUUGCUUAAUUCCAGUACCCUCUUAUUAUGGGCAAGGGAUCAGGGAGCACCUUCCAGAGCACAAACUCAAGACAUAUUAAUUGGACUUCCCUGGUGACGCAGUAGUUAAGAAUCCGCCUGCCAACGCAUGGGGCACGGGUUCGAGCCCUGGUCCGGGAAGAUCCCACAUGCCGCGGAGCAACU
This is a non-coding RNA of Delphinapterus leucas (beluga whale), 993 nucleotides long. Lineage: Eukaryota; Metazoa; Chordata; Mammalia; Artiodactyla; Monodontidae. The record is from RefSeq and is a predicted model, not a curated record.